RNAcentral lists this ribosomal RNA (407 nucleotides) under uncultured prokaryote. RNAcentral's name for it is "bacterial SSU rRNA". It matches the Rfam family "Bacterial small subunit ribosomal RNA", at positions 355 to 776 of the family's 1533-position model. The record is from RNAcentral. RNAcentral also lists the same sequence under 1 other name.
UGGGGAAUAUUGGGCAAUGGGCGAAAGCCUGACCCAGCAACGCCGCGUGAAGGAAGAAGGCUUUCGGGUUGUAAACUUCUUUUAUUCGGGACGAAAAAAAUGACGGUACCGAAUGAAUAAGCCACGGCUAACUACGUGCCAGCAGCCGCGGUAAUACGUAGGUGGCAAGCGUUAUCCGGAUUUACUGGGUGUAAAGGGCGUGUAGGCGGGACUGCAAGUCAGAUGUGAAAUCCAAGGGCUCAACCCUUGGCCUGCAUUUGAAACUGUGGUUCUUGAGUGAUGGAGAGGCAGGCGGAAUUCCGAGUGUAGCGGUGAAAUGCGUAGAUAUUCGGAGGAACACCAGUGGCGAAGGCGGCCUGCUGGACAUUAACUGACGCUGAGGCGCGAAAGCGUGGGGAGCAAACAGG